ACGGGAGGCAGCAGUGGGGAAUAUUGGACAAUGGGGGAAACCCUGAUCCAGCGACGCCGCGUGAGUGAAGAAGUAUUUCGGUAUGUAAAGCUCUAUCAGCAAGGAAGAAAAUGACGGUACUUGACUAAGAAGCUCCGGCUAAAUACGUGCCAGCAGCCGCGGUAAUACGUAUGGAGCAAGCGUUAUCCGGAUUUACUGGGUGUAAAGGGUGCGUAGACGGUUUGGCAAGUCAGAAGUGAAAUCCCGGGGCUUAACUCCGGUGCUGCUUUUGAAACUGUCAGACUAGAGUGCUGGAGGGGCAAGCGGAAUUCCUGGUGUAGCGGUGAAAUGCGUAGAUAUCAGGAGGAACACCGGUGGCGAAGGCGGCUUGCUGGACAGUAACUGACGUUGAGGCACGAAAGCGUGGGGAGCAAACAGGAUUAGAUACCCUGGUA
RNAcentral lists this ribosomal RNA (434 nucleotides) under uncultured Lachnospiraceae bacterium. RNAcentral's name for it is "partial 16S ribosomal RNA". It matches the Rfam family "Bacterial small subunit ribosomal RNA", at positions 341 to 792 of the family's 1533-position model. Lineage: Bacteria; Bacillati; Bacillota; Clostridia; Lachnospirales; Lachnospiraceae. The record is from RNAcentral.